This 433-nucleotide ribosomal RNA is filed under the name uncultured bacterium. Its description in RNAcentral is "partial 16S ribosomal RNA". It matches the Rfam family "Bacterial small subunit ribosomal RNA", at positions 29 to 507 of the family's 1533-position model. The record is from RNAcentral.
AACGAACGCUGGCGGCAUGCCUAACACAUGCAAGUCGAACGAGACCUUCGGGGCUAGUGGCGCACGGGUGCGUAACGCGUGGGAACCUGCCCUUAGGUUCGGAAUAACUCCCCGAAAGGGGUGCUAAUACCGGAUAAUGUCUUCGGACCAAAGAUUUAUCGCCUUUGGAUGGGCCCGCGUUGGAUUAGCUAGUUGGUAGGGUAAAAGCCUACCAAGGCGACGAUCCAUAGCUGGUCUGAGAGGAUGAUCAGCCACACUGGGACUGAGACACGGCCCAGACUCCUACGGGAGGCAGCAGUGGGGAAUAUUGGACAAUGGGCGAAAGCCUGAUCCAGCAAUGCCGCGUGAGUGAUGAAGGCCUUAGGGUUGUAAAGCUCUUUUACCCGGGAUGAUAAUGACAGUACCGGGAGAAUAAGCCCCGGCUAACUCCGUG